AUGAACGCUGGCGGCGUGCCUAAUACAUGCAAGUCGAGCGAACAGACGAGGAGCUUGCUCCUCCGACGUUAGCGGCGGACGGGCGAGUAACACGUGGAUAACCUACCUAUAAGACUGGGAUAACUUCGGGAAACCGGAGCUAAUACCGGAUAAUAUAUUGAACCGCAUGGUUCAAUAGUGAAAGACGGUUUUGCUGUCACUUAUAGAUGGAUCCGCGCCGCAUUAGCUAGUUGGUAAGGUAACGGCUUACCAAGGCGACGAUGCGUAGCCGACCUGAGAGGGUGAUCGGCCACACUGGAACUGAGACACGGUCCAGACUCCUACGGGAGGCAGCAGUAGGGAAUCUUCCGCAAUGGGCGAAAGCCUGACGGAGCAACGCCGCGUGAGUGAUGAAGGUCUUCGGAUCGUAAAACUCUGUUAUUAGGGAAGAACAAAUGUGUAAGUAACUAUGCACGUCUUGACGGUACCUAAUCAGAAAGCCACGGCUAACUACGUG
This 496-nucleotide ribosomal RNA is filed under the name uncultured bacterium. RNAcentral's name for it is "partial 16S ribosomal RNA". It matches the Rfam family "Bacterial small subunit ribosomal RNA", at positions 29 to 507 of the family's 1533-position model. The record is from RNAcentral.